CAGCCGCCGCGGGAACACGAAGGGUGCAAGCGUUACUCGGAAUUACUGGGCGUAAAGCGUGCGUAGGUGGUGGUUUAAGUCCGUUGUGAAAGCCCUGGGCUCAACCUGGGAAUUGCAGUGGAUACUGGGUCACUAGAGUGUGGUAGAGGAUAGUGGAAUUUCCGGUGUAGCAGUGAAAUGCGUAGAGAUCGGAAGGAACAUCUGUGGCGAAGGCGACUAUCUGGGCCAACACUGACACUGAGGCACGAAAGCGUGGGGAGCAAACAGGAUUAGAUACCCCCGUAGUCCCUGUCUCUUAUAC
This 301-nucleotide ribosomal RNA is filed under the name uncultured bacterium. Its description in RNAcentral is "partial 16S ribosomal RNA". It matches the Rfam family "Bacterial small subunit ribosomal RNA", at positions 509 to 807 of the family's 1533-position model. The record is from RNAcentral.